This 253-nucleotide ribosomal RNA is filed under the name uncultured bacterium. RNAcentral's name for it is "partial 16S ribosomal RNA". It matches the Rfam family "Bacterial small subunit ribosomal RNA", at positions 524 to 776 of the family's 1533-position model. The record is from RNAcentral.
UACGGGGGGGGCAAGCGUUGUUCGGAAUUACUGGGCGUAAAGGGCUCGUAGGCGGCCAACUAAGUCAUACGUGAAAUCCCUCGGCUUAACCGGGGAACUGCGUCUGAUACUGGAUGGCUUGAGUUCGGGAGAGGAGCGUGGAAUUCCCAGUGUAGAGGUGAAAUUCGUAGAUAUUGGGGAGAACACCGGUGGCGAAGGCGGCGCUCUGGACCGAGACUGACGCUGAGGCGCGAAAGCGUGGGGAGCAAACAGG